CCUACGGGGGGCAGCAGUGGGGGAUAUUGCACAAUGGGGGGAACCCUGAUGCAGCGACGCCGCGUGGGCGAUGGAGUACUUCGGUAUGUAAAGCUCUAUCAGCAGGGAAGAAAAUGACGGUACCUGACUAAGAAGCCCCGGCUAACUACGUGCCAGCAGCCGCGGUAAUACGUAGGGGGCAAGCGUUAUCCGGAUUUACUGGGUGUAAAGGGAGCGUAGACGGUGCAGCAAGUCUGAUGUGAAAGGUCGGGGCCCAACCCCGGGACUGCAUUGGAAACUGUUGAACUGGAGUACAGGAGAGGUAA
Molecule: ribosomal RNA, 305 nt
Filed under: uncultured bacterium
Lineage: Bacteria
Description: bacterial SSU rRNA
Rfam family: Bacterial small subunit ribosomal RNA
Source: RNAcentral